RNAcentral lists this ribosomal RNA (458 nucleotides) under uncultured bacterium. RNAcentral describes it as "bacterial SSU rRNA". It matches the Rfam family "Bacterial small subunit ribosomal RNA", at positions 30 to 480 of the family's 1533-position model. The record is from RNAcentral.
AUUGAACGCUGGCGGCGUGCCUAACACAUGCAAGUCGAGCGGUAACAGGUGUAGCAAUACAUGCUGACGAGCGGCGAACGGGUGAGUAAUGCUUUGGAAUCUUCCCAGUAGUGGGGAAUAACCAGUCGAAAGAUUGGCUAAUACCGCAUACGUCUGUAAAGGGAAAGCGGGGGCUCGUAAGACCUCGCGCUAUUGGAUGAGCCAAAGUCGGAUUAGCUAGUUGGGGGGUAAUGGCCUACCAAGGCGACAAUCCGUAGCUGGUCUGAGAGGACGACCAGCCACACCGGAACUGAGACACGGUCCGGACUCCUACGGGAGGCAGCAGUGGGGAAUAUUGGACAAUGGGGGAAACCCUGAUCCAGCGACGCCGCGUGUGUGAAGAAGGCCUGCGGGUUGUAAAGCACUUUUAGUGGGGACAAAAAGCUACGGAUUAAUACUCUGUGGUCUUGAUUUAACCC